Long non-coding RNA from Hyaena hyaena (striped hyena), 206 nucleotides. RefSeq lists it as uncharacterized. The transcript is spliced from 3 exons. The record is from RefSeq and is a predicted model, not a curated record. Lineage: Eukaryota; Metazoa; Chordata; Mammalia; Carnivora; Hyaenidae.
GGCACAGUGAGAGGAAACUAACACAAGGAAUGAGCAAAAUGGAACUGAUUUUGAUAAAGGGCAUUAAUUUUUUGUCAACUUUCUUAUUCUCUGACACACCACGGACCAAGAUAGACCGGAAGGGAAAUCUACCCCUCACAAGGAGGAAGAUACAAUAGGGGAAAUAUUCCACGAGGAUGCUUUGAUUUUUCUUUACGACACGCCAU